Molecule: ribosomal RNA, 418 nt
Filed under: uncultured prokaryote
Description: bacterial SSU rRNA
Rfam family: Archaeal small subunit ribosomal RNA
Source: RNAcentral
GUGCCAGCCGCCGCGGUAAUACCAGCUCUCCGAGUGGUGGGGACGUUUAUUGGGCCUGAAGCAUCCGUAGCCAGCUGAGCAAGUCCCCAGUUAAAUCCAGCGAUUUAAUCGUUGGACUGCUGGGGAUACUGUCCGGCUAGGGGGUGGGAGAGGCCGACGGUAUUCCCGGGGUAGGGGUGAAAUCCUAUAAUCCCGGGAGGACCACCAGUGGCGAAGGCUGUUGGCUAGAACAUGCCCGACGGUGAGGGAUGAAAGCUGGGGGAGCGAACCGGAUUAGAUACCCGGGUAGUCCCAGCUGUAAACGAUGCAGGCUAGGUGUUAGGGCGGCCACGUGCCGCUCUAGUGCCGCAGGGAAGCUGUUAAGCCUGCCGCCUGGGGAGUACGGCCGCAAGGCUGAAACUUAAAUGAAUUGGCGGGG